UUCGAACGAGAGACGCAUACUCGUCACGCAUACUGAUAAAUUAAUUUACCUAUAUCUAGCAAGUUUAUCCGAACACCGACAUAGAGCAAAUGAAGGGGCGAGGAGGAGAUGAUAUUUGUAAUCACCAAUGAAUGCAGGGUCGGAGCUCGUAGAAUGCACAGGGAGGUCUUCGCACAGCAAACCUCAUAGCGAUGAAACAAGUGUCACAUGUAAAUCCACCCGAUCAACACAAAUAUUUUGUGUUCACCGAUAAAAUCGAAAAAUAUAUGACCUAACACAAAUAUAUGACCUAAAAAAUGAGCCUAAAAGGUUUCACGCUUUUUGCACAGGCAAAUCCAUAAAAGGCGACCCUUGCAAAUGGUACUUAAGUGCUAGUUGGAAGAGGGACAAAAAUUGUGUGAUGGUAAUAACUUUUUUUGUGAUUUCUACUCUUAUUCCUUCAUAUUGUUUGUCAUGAUAAUAAACUUCAGAUUUUGUGCCUUUUUUUGCUGCAGGUUGCGAAGCAUCAAACUGAGCACAUUUGUAGUUCAACGAGUGGAAAAGUGACAAGUAUGACAACUCAAUCUUGGGUGACUGAUAGGGCAGCGGCUAUGUUGAAGAAAGAUCCAACCAUUGGUGUUGUGAAGAUAAUGAGCAGCCCAUAUAUUAUUAUGUGGGAUAUGUGGGUUUAGUGGGACACCCACAUAAUUAACUAUUUUUAACACGAGUGAAAUAUUCCCACAAGACAUAAUGUUUCAGACUGUACUGUUAUGCAGGUUCCUCUAGAUUCAUACGGAGUGCAGGCGCAUAAUUCUUGUGCCUUGAGAAGACAAAGAAUACUCUCUGUAACUCUUGCCAUUAGCAUAGCUCAGUGCUUUGGUUUUGAGGGAAGCCAAUUUUGCAGGUUGCGCCUCAAAUUGGCUUGCUAGGGGCACAGUUGACUUGAUCACACUCACGCAUGCAAGAUGCAAUCAGGAGCUACCCAUCAAAUAAUUGUCCUAGUGAACAUCGAUCGUUGAUGGGGAUCGAUCUGUUGAUGAUGAGAAUACAAUUUGAAGGGGGAUGCAAGUGAGAUUGUCAAUAUGCUCUUGGGAUUCAGGAAGGGCACACGCACUAUCCUCUCGCUCAUUCAACAAGCAAAGAAGCACGC
This 1129-nucleotide long non-coding RNA is filed under the name Hordeum vulgare. Its description in RNAcentral is "long non-coding RNA (HVUL_LNC012213)". Lineage: Eukaryota; Viridiplantae; Streptophyta; Magnoliopsida; Poales; Poaceae. The record is from RNAcentral.